AUGGACGUUCCACUAGUGUUUGAAAUGUCAAACUACUUCUAUGGGGCUGUGCUCUCCGCUGCCGCUGACCAGGGCCAUAUGCACGGCAGCUGCCACUCGAGGCCCUUUAAUUUGGUCUUGAUGGCCCCGUGCCAAGGCUCCCAAAACGAUGGUCCACCCAUCGCUUGCGUAUACUCCUCGGAGACUGGACUAUGGGGCGAUCUGAUCUCAACAACAGAUCGAUGUGAGUUUGUUCAUUGUAAUCCUGGGAUCCUUGUUGGUAAUGUCCUUUACUGGUCAUCUAAGAGUGUGAGUGCCGAAUCAAAUUAUUUGGAUUUGGAUGAGCUCGCGGACGACAUAAUUGAGUUUGAUUUGGAUAGCCAGAGUCUUGCUUUGAUCAAGGGGCCUCGAGGACUGAAUUAUUCCACCACACAUCAGAUAAUCCAGUUAGAGGAUGGUGAUCUUGGUCUUGCCAUAUUGUCUCAUGGUAGAUUUGAAAUGUGGCAGAGGAAGGUCAGUUGUCAUGGUGGUGCUACAUGGUUCUUGCAGAAGACUGUUGAAAUACAUACUAUUCUUGGGCUCCCUCCUCAGGUGGAGGGAUCGAUGAGAGGGGUGGAAAUACUGGGGUAUGAUGAGGUUAAUGGUGUAAUGUUUUUAUUUGUGGACACCAAUGUCUACAUGCUUCAAGUGAUGUCAAUGCAAUCCAGGAAGCUUCAUCAAAGCCGUUAUGCCAAUAACUGUCAUCCUUUCACAAGUUUCUAUGGACCAGCCAUUCCUGAUGGAUACGGUGGAGCUGAAAUGCUGCAAGAUAUGUAG
RNAcentral lists this ribosomal RNA (795 nucleotides) under Triticum aestivum (bread wheat). RNAcentral describes it as "partial small subunit ribosomal RNA". The record is from RNAcentral. Lineage: Eukaryota; Viridiplantae; Streptophyta; Magnoliopsida; Poales; Poaceae.